RNAcentral lists this ribosomal RNA (467 nucleotides) under uncultured bacterium. RNAcentral's name for it is "partial 16S ribosomal RNA". It matches the Rfam family "Bacterial small subunit ribosomal RNA", at positions 29 to 507 of the family's 1533-position model. The record is from RNAcentral.
ACGCACGCUGGCGGCGUGCUUAACACAUGCAAGUCGAACGGAAAGGCCCUGCUUUUGUGGGGUGCUCGAGUGGCGAACGGGUGAGUAACACGUGAGUAACCUGCCCUUGACUUUGGGAUAACUUCAGGAAACUGGGGCUAAUACCGGAUAGGAGCUCCUGCUGCAUGGUGGGGGUUGGAAAGUUUCGGCGGUUGGGGAUGGACUCGCGGCUUAUCAGCUUGUUGGUGGGGUAGUGGCUUACCAAGGCUUUGACGGGUAGCCGGCCUGAGAGGGUGACCGGCCACAUUGGGACUGAGAUACGGCCCAGACUCCUACGGGAGGCAGCAGUGGGGAAUAUUGCACAAUGGGCGGAAGCCUGAUGCAGCAACGCCGCGUGCGGGAUGACGGCCUUCGGGUUGUAAACCGCUUCCGCCUGUGACGAAGCGUGAGUGACGGUAAUGGGUAAAGAAGCACCGGCUAACUACGUG